Molecule: ribosomal RNA, 372 nt
Filed under: uncultured organism
Description: bacterial SSU rRNA
Rfam family: Bacterial small subunit ribosomal RNA
Source: RNAcentral
CAGAGGUCUCAAGCGUUGUUCGGAUUCAUUGGGCGUAAAGGGUGCGUAGGUGGCGCCAUAAGUCAGGUGUGAAAUCUCGGGGCUCAACCCCGAAACUGCACUUGAUACUGUGGUGCUGGAGUACUGGAGAGGAGAUUGGAAUUUACGGUGUAGCAGUGAAAUGCGUAGAUAUCGUAAGGAAGACCAGUGGCGAAGGCGAAUCUCUGGACAGUUACUGACACUGAGGCACGAAGGCCAGGGGAGCAAACGGGAUUAGAUACCCCGGUAGUCCUGGCAGUAAACGGUGCGCGUUUGGUGUGGGAGGAUUCGACCCCUUCUGUGCCGGAGCUAACGCGUUAAACGCGCCGCCUGGGGAGUACGGUCGCAAGAUUA